This 255-nucleotide unclassified non-coding RNA is filed under the name uncultured fungus. RNAcentral's name for it is "sequence contains ITS1, 5.8S rRNA gene". The stretch from base 207 to 255 matches the Rfam family "5.8S ribosomal RNA", at positions 1 to 49 of the family's 154-position model. The record is from RNAcentral. Lineage: Eukaryota; Fungi.
UUUCCGUAGGUGAACCUGCGGAAGGAUCAUUACCGAGUGAGGGCCCUCUGGGUCCAACCUCCCACCCGUGUUUAUCAUACCUAGUUGCUUCGGCGGGCCCGCCGUCAUGGCCGCCGGGGGGCACCCGCCCCCGGGCCCGCGCCCGCCGAAGCCCCCCUGAACGCUGUCUGAAGAUUGCAGUCUGAGCGAUUAGCUAAAUCAGUUAAAACUUUCAACAACGGAUCUCUUGGUUCCGGCAUCGAUGAAGAACGCAGC